RNAcentral lists this ribosomal RNA (511 nucleotides) under uncultured bacterium. Its description in RNAcentral is "bacterial SSU rRNA". It matches the Rfam family "Bacterial small subunit ribosomal RNA", at positions 28 to 537 of the family's 1533-position model. The record is from RNAcentral.
GAUGAACGCUAGCGGCAGGCUUAACACAUGCAAGUCGAGGGGCAGCACGUCUUCGGAUGGUGGCGACCGGCGCACGGGUGAGUAACGCGUAUGCAAUCUACCUUUUACAGGGGCAUAGCCCGGGGAAACCCGGAUUAAUAUCCUAUAGUACCAUUAUAUAGCAUUAUAUUAUGGUUAAAGUUUCGGCGGUAAAAGAUGAGCAUGCGUCCUAUUAGCUUGAUGGUAAGGUAACGGCUUACCAUGGCUAUGAUAGGUAGGGGUCCUGAGAGGGAGACCCCCCACACUGGUACUGAGACACGGACCAGACUCCUACGGGAGCCAGCAGUGAGGAAUAUUGGACAAUGGGCGCAAGCCUGAUCCAGCCAUGCCGCGUGCAGGAAGACGGCCCUAUGGGUUGUAAACUGCUUUUUAUACGGGAAGAAACACCCCUUCGUGAAGGGACUUGACGGUACCGUAUGAAUAAGGAUCGGCUAACUCCGUGCCAGCAGCCGCGGUAAUACGGAGGAUACCG